AGGAGAUAUAACUGGAUUUUGCAAUUCUAGAUCCCUCAAAAGCAAAGACUCUCAGAAGGACCAGAAGAAAGGACUAAAAAUUCUUGGACAACCCUGAAACCCAUGGAGUGGCAGAGAUGAGGAACCUCUUUGGAACAAGCAGGCCGCAAUGAUCUUAACACAAUUCCGGGUCAUCUCACAGUCAACUUCUCCAAAUAACAGUGAAAGAAAGUGAGGCCAAACACUGAGGUUGCGGGGAGUGAAGACUUAGAAGAGUGAGGACAAAUAUUUGGAGGCUUUAGAACAUAGCAUGCAGCUGUCAUCGGGAAGAGUCGGGGAAUGAAAGAACUAGGAAGACACAAUCAAAACCUCCAGAAACCACCACUGGUUGUACCUUCAAAUCGUAUUGCAAACCCAGCUACUUCUUACCAGUUCUCCACUAACACAACCAUCAGGACCCAAUCGGAGAUAAUCUACUAGGGUAGAGAACAGACUCACAAAACAAACAUAGCAGCCUUGGUGGAGUUUUGUAAAGCCCAAGUUUGUGGUCCUGGUUGGAGAAAGUGGCAUCCAUUCAGAAAUUCAACAAGGAUAUCCUAUAAAUGAGAGAGCCACAGAAAGUCUGGACAAGCAGUCUGCACGUCCCUCACCGUCUGAGAAACUGCAUGCAUGUGGAGAAGAUACUGGAAAAAGCCUAUAAAACAGGUGAAGGCAAGAGAGCCCUGAAAAUGGGCUGAAAUUUGAGUGUACUCCCAAAGUCACACAAAUUAAAUGGGCAGAGGGUACAGAAGCCUUAUGGGCUUAAGGUGUGUGAGCACAAUUUCUGUUUAGCUCACUGACUCAUCACUAGGUAUGCAGACACGGGGAAAUCCCUAAGGUCUAAGCAGAGAUAUCAAAAGCCAUAUACUGCAGUGAAGAUAGAUUUUGCAGUUUAUGUUCAGGUAGUUACUGA
Molecule: long non-coding RNA, 931 nt
Organism: Zalophus californianus (California sea lion)
Lineage: Eukaryota; Metazoa; Chordata; Mammalia; Carnivora; Otariidae
Exons: 6
Source: RefSeq, a predicted model, not a curated record